Molecule: non-coding RNA, 2356 nt
Organism: Manis javanica (Malayan pangolin)
Lineage: Eukaryota; Metazoa; Chordata; Mammalia; Pholidota; Manidae
Source: RefSeq, a predicted model, not a curated record
GCUGUUGUGAGCACCGCCACCAUGAAGGUGGGUGCUCAGCGUCUGCUCACUCUUUGGGUCCACCCCUGGGGGUGCGAGUAUCCCAGGGCCUCUGGAAGCGCUGCAUCUCACUCUCAGGGGGGCACACAUGGCUGGUCGGAGCACGCUGUGGCCGUCCCCCUGCGCUCCUUCCUGCUUGUACGAUGCUGCUGAGAUGGCAGUGCCCUGGCAGCCGCUGGCUUCUGCCUCCUAGGACAGACUUGCUGCUAGGACUGCGUGGUGGGAAGACAGCAGGAGCCUGGAUCCCUGGCUCUGCGCUGGGGCCUCUGCACACCAGCCUCAGGGGACCCUGCAUCCUGACGUGCCUGCACAAGUGUGAUCGAGAAUUAAUUCCAUCCUGUUUAAGCCAUUGCUGCUGGGGUAUUCCUCACACACACCCCCCUCAAAAAUCAUUCCUAUGUCUUGAGAAACUUAGAAUUAGACUUUUUUAUUGUAGAAAAGCAGGAGACAUGAAUGAAAGUGGCUGUCGUCUCACCGGGAGAUGCACCAUGCCUGGCGCUUUUUGGUCAGCCAUCCACGGACUCCACGCACACCCUGACUCCUGCUUGCAAAUCGUGUGGUCAUGUUAAUAGUCCAGUAUUUCCGUGCAUUUCCCACGACAUUCAUCUUCCUCACAUCCAGGAUGUUAAUGGCCUAAUAAUGUCCCAGGCGAGGCCGUGCCUUUCCUAGUGCAGUGCUGGAGGUCCUUGACCAGCACCACCUCUACGACCACCUUGUCGAUGCCUCCGCGGGGAUGAUGUCAGCGGAGAGAUCGCCACUCGAAGCUCGGGGAGAAUUUGGAGGCCAGGCUGCCUCCAGAGGGGCUCCCACCUCCCCUGGGCAGCUCUGCUCAGCCGCCCUGUCCACGCCGGCUUCCGCUCUGACAUCACCUUCUGCGGCCACCGCUUUGGUGGAGAGCGGGUGCCCUGUCCUCCUUCCCCUGCGUUUCUUUCUUUGUAACUAAGUAGAUGAACAGUUUUCAGACCCGGUGUUAACCUUUUCUUUGGGUUUUGGUGUUCUGUUAGGUUUUGAGUUCGCUAGAUGUUCAUGGUUAACAAACUUUGACAGGACAGUCACAGGUGUUCACCACACCUGAACUUGUUUGGUAUUAAUUUAAUUUGGCUUAUUUAAAAAUACCUGUGUUUGUGUUUCUCAUUGACAAAGGGACGCAGGCCCAGGGGAGCAGGGGCAGUGCUUCAGUUAGAAGUGGCAGGCAGAAGGUAGCGGCUUUUCCAAUGGGAAGCGGGGGUGAGGGGCCAUACGCCCUUGUGAAUCCCUGCAGCUGGCGGGGAGAGGAGGCUCCCACGUUCGUGCAGGAUCUCAGUUAUGCAGUGACCCCCUUCAGCCCCUGCUGAAACCUCUUCAUUGUCACAGAAAGGAGGUUUGUCCACAGGGCUGCUCAUUUCAGCCCCCAGGACUGGCUGUCCUGGAACAAGGGAGGAACGGCCUUUAGGGAGGCCCUGGGGAACGCUAAGGCUGCUGGUGCGCAGAGCCCGUGGCUCCGACCCCAAGAAGGCCUCAAGAAGGAAAGUGAUCCUCAGGCUGGUGAGCGUGUGGGAGCGUGGACUCCGUGGGAGCAGAUGGCCGGGGCCCAGGUGGAGGCCUGCCAGUCCCUGUGUGCCAGCCCUGCCCCCACCCCCACCCCAGAGCAGCCUGAGUGGGUGGCAGGUCCUGGCGGUCCUGGGGCAUUCUGCCAAGGGCGCGGCUGGGGCGUCCAGGACUGGGCGCCUCCCACUCUGUGUCUCUGUGCUCUGGUCCUGCAGCCCUGCUGUGUGGGGAGAGGCAGCCCGCGCGGAUGUGCACGGCCGAGCUGUGCGCUGUGGCUGCAAGGCCCAGCCGCCCCCGUGCAGCCCUCCUGUGGCUGGCCACACAGGCUGGCACUGACCUGAUGGCCUCCUCUCUUCUCCCACCCCCUCCUCCUCUCCCCCCUUUCUCUCUCUGAUUGGACGUCUGUGUGCAAGAAAUUCCAGAUUCCACCUGCAGCCCACAGCCGGGCCCCCAGGGCGAGGCCGUAGAGUCGUGCAGGACUUGCACGCAUCUGGCGCUCCCCGCCCACCCUGGCUCCUCUCUGAGCGGUCCCAAAGCACACGACCAUCCCCACCGCUCCCUCUUCAGAGCCUCAGUCAGUGGCUUCCCGCUGUACCAAGAGUGAAAAAGCCUCCGCGGAGUCUGGCACCGACCAGUGCAAUGCGGCUCUUCUCCCAGGGCCUGCGAAUGCUGCACACGGGGCUGGGCAGAGGGGCCCUGCCUGCAUGGUGUCCCUUCUCCAGGACAGCCUUCUGGUGGGCCUUUCCAUUCUUUCACGCAUUUUAUUAUUAAAUAAAGUCAUCUAAAUCAA